Molecule: ribosomal RNA, 467 nt
Filed under: uncultured bacterium
Lineage: Bacteria
Description: partial 16S ribosomal RNA
Rfam family: Bacterial small subunit ribosomal RNA
Source: RNAcentral
ACGAACGCUGGCGGCGUGCUUAACACCUGCAAGUCGCACGGAAAGGCCCUGCUUUUGUGGGGUGCUCGAGUGGCGAACGGGUGAGUAACACGUGAGUCACCUGCCCUUGACUUUGGGAUAACUUCAGGAAACUGGGGCUAAUACCGGAUAGGAGCUCCUGCUGCAUGGUGGGGGUUGGAAAGUUUCGGCGGUUGGGGAUGGACUCGCGGCUUAUCAGCUUGUUGGUGGGGUAGUGGCUUACCAAGGCUUUGACGGGUAGCCGGCCUGAGAGGGUGACCGGCCACAUUGGGACUGAGAUACGGCCCAGACUCCUACGGGAGGCAGCAGUGGGGAAUAUUGCACAAUGGGCGGAAGCCUGAUGCAGCAACGCCGCGUGCGGGAUGACGGCCUUCGGGUUGUAAACCGCUUUCGCCUGUGACGAAGCGUGAGUGACGGUAAUGGGUAAAGAAGCACCGGCUAACUACGUG